This 76-nucleotide transfer RNA is filed under the name Bacillota bacterium. RNAcentral describes it as "Firmicutes bacterium (anaerobic digester metagenome) tRNA-Lys". It matches the Rfam family "tRNA". Rfam says of the family: Transfer RNA (tRNA) molecules are approximately 80 nucleotides in length. Their secondary structure includes four short double-helical elements and three loops (D, anti-codon, and T loops). The record is from RNAcentral. Lineage: Bacteria; Bacillati; Bacillota.
GAGCCAUUAGCUCAGUCGGUAGAGCACCUGACUUUUAAUCAGGGUGUCGCAGGUUCGACUCCUGCAUGGCUCACCA